AUGGCAACCGUGGACAUGCGGCGGUUGGAGACAGGCGCGGGCGGCGGCUACGACGCCAUGGGGUUGUCCAAGCGGGUAGACGACGACCUCGACGACGACGGCCGGCCGCGGCGCACGGGCACGGCGUGGACGGCCAGCGCGCACAUCAUCACCACGGUGCUGGGGUCCGGCGUGCUGUCCCUGGCGUGGGGGGUGGCGCAGCUGGGCUGGGUGGCCGGCCCCGGCGUGAUGACGCUGUUCGCCGCCGUCAUCUACUACACCUCGGCGCUCCUGGCCGACUGCUACCGCACCGGCGACCCCGUGUCCGGCCCGCGCAACCGCACCUACAUGGCCGCCGUCCGCGCCACCCUGGACGAGUCCAAGGUGAAGCUCUGCGGCGCCAUCCAGUUCGUCAACCUCUUCGGCAUCGGCAUCGGCAUCACCAUCGCCGCGUCCGUCAGCAUGCUGGCGAUCAAGAAGGCGGGAUGCUUCCACAAGGAAGGGCACAAGGGCGACUGCAACAGUUCUUCCAUGAGCCCGUACAUUGCCAUCUACGGCAUCAUGGAGAUCUUCUUCUCGCAGAUCCCGGGCUUGGACAGUAUGUGGUGGCUGUCCAUCCUCGCCACCGUCAUGUCCUUCACCUACUCCACCAUCGGCAUCUCCCUCGGCGUCGCGCAGAUUGUAGCCAACGGGGGAAUCCAGGGCGGCCUCACCGGCGUGGCCGUCGGCAUCAACGCCGCCGGCAAGAGCAUCACGGUGAUGGAGAAAGUCUGGCGUAGUCUUCAGGCGUUUGGGAACAUGGCUUUCGCCUACGGCUUCUCCAUCGUCCUGCUCGAGAUCCAAGACACGCUGAAGGCGGCGGCGCCGUCGGAGGCGAAGGUGAUGAAGAAGGCGACGGCGGUGAGCGUGGCGGUGACGACGGUGAUCUACCUGCUGUGCGGGUGCGUGGGGUACGCGGCGUUCGGCGACGGGGCGCCGGACAACCUCCUCACGGGCUUCGGCUUCUACGAGCCCUUCUGGCUGCUGGACCUGGCCAACGCCGCGGUCGCCGUCCACCUGGUGGGCACGUACCAGGUCAUCACCCAGCCCAUCUUCGCCUACGUCGAGCUGCGCGCCGCCGCGGCCUGGCCGGACAGCGCGUUCGUGGGCACGAGGGAGGUCCGGCUGUGGCCGACGGCCGUCCGCGUGUCCGUGUGCCCGCUCCGGCUGACCUGGCGCACGGCGUACGUGUGCGUGACGACCGCCGUGGCCAUGGCGAUGCCCUUCUUCGGGUCCGUGGUGGGGCUCAUCGGCGCCAUCUCCUUCUGGCCGCUCACCGUCUACUUCCCCGUGUCGAUGUACAUCGCGCAGCGCCGGGUGCCGCGAGGCAGCACGCGGUGGAUGUUCCUCCAGGCGCUGAGCGCCGUGUGCCUCCUCGUGUCCGUCGUGGCGGCGGCCGGCUCCGUGGCCGACGUCGCGGCCGAGUUCAAGGCGCACAACCCGUUCCGCCGGGGGUGA
RNAcentral lists this ribosomal RNA (1476 nucleotides) under Triticum aestivum (bread wheat). RNAcentral's name for it is "partial small subunit ribosomal RNA". Lineage: Eukaryota; Viridiplantae; Streptophyta; Magnoliopsida; Poales; Poaceae. The record is from RNAcentral.